UGGGAAAAAAUCAUCAAUAUUGGUCAAGACACUUAGGAAAAAUCGUGCGUGACCGAAAUAUUUGUCCAAUGCAAGUGCUUUCAUGGAAGGAUAUACAAAACACAGAAAAGCAGCACAUGUGGGAAGCAGUAAAGGAAUGUUUUGAUAAUCCCAAUAUUGAAUUAUACCGUGAUGAUACCCUAGAGCAUUUGUGUACUUUGUGGACAAAUUGGAGGUCACUUUUGAAUGUAAAAUUUGUGAGGCCUUACAAAAGUAAGGUUGAGGUUUUAAAAAAUGUUCCAUCUGGAGUAAAUGUUGAAGAUUGGAAGUGGCUUGUCACUAACAAGUUUAUGACAGAAAAGUUUCAGAAAAUCAGUCAACAAAAUACUAAGAAUAGGUCUGCAUCGGAUAUGGGAAUGCCUCAUCGGAUAGGGAGUAGGCCACAUAGAGAAAUCAUAUAUGAAAAUGGAGGUAAAGAUUCAACACCACCUGACUUGGGAGUAAUUUUCUUAAAGACUAGAUGCAAAAAUGAAAAACUAGACGGGACAAGAGAAAAAGAAAAAUAUGAUGAAAUUGUGAAGACUAUUAUGUCCAAUCCAUCACUUUCAAACCUUGAGAUUGUUGAAAAACAUUUUGGACAGCAGCGCCACGGUCAUGUAUAUGGUUAUGGGGGUGGAGUAAAGCGAAAAAAUUUUAAUGAUUCUAAAUAUACUUAUAUCAAAGAGUUAGAGGCUAAGCUCCAUGAGAAGGAUGAAGAAAACCGUAACCUUAAGAGGCGCAUGGAUGUAUUUGAAAGUAGGUUGAUCCGAAUAGAGAAUGGAGAUUUACCAUCUCUUGGAACUACCACUAGUGAUGACAUUCAAGAGGAUGCUUAGAACCCAAGAUAUUAACAUUGUUUCUUUUGACUUUAGUAUUAAGGUAACUUCUACUGAUUAUUUUAGCUAACAAUGUGCUUUUGGAUGAUGUGACAAAGCUAUUGAUGAAAAAUGGCAUGCCGAACACCGCAUCGAAAGUAAAUAUUUUUGUGUAUGAAGUUGAUUGUACAUUUUUGCUUUGGGGUUAUUUUUGUCUAAACUAAAAAUGUUUAUUUGUACAGUCUCACCUUUCAAAAUAGCCAAUAGAUACAUUACUAUGGCUAUUUGUUAACUAUAAUUAGUUUCUUUGCGUUUAGUCUGUACAAAGUUCUGUGAAACAUUUCAUUUUGGUAGUGAUGAUGAAGUCUUUUAAUAUAUUGAUAAGUUUACUUUGA
This is an RNA transcript of Ipomoea triloba (trilobed morning glory), 1228 nucleotides long. RefSeq lists it as uncharacterized. The transcript is spliced from 8 exons. The record is from RefSeq and is a predicted model, not a curated record. Lineage: Eukaryota; Viridiplantae; Streptophyta; Magnoliopsida; Solanales; Convolvulaceae.